Molecule: non-coding RNA, 23 nt
Filed under: Arabidopsis thaliana (thale cress)
Lineage: Eukaryota; Viridiplantae; Streptophyta; Magnoliopsida; Brassicales; Brassicaceae
Source: RNAcentral
AUCAUGGCAAGGAAGAGAGGAUG